RNAcentral lists this ribosomal RNA (467 nucleotides) under uncultured bacterium. Its description in RNAcentral is "partial 16S ribosomal RNA". It matches the Rfam family "Bacterial small subunit ribosomal RNA", at positions 28 to 506 of the family's 1533-position model. The record is from RNAcentral.
GACGAACGCUGGCGGCGUGCUUAACACAUGCAAGUCGAACGGAAAGGCCCUGCUUUUGUGGGGUGCUCGAGUGGCGAACGGGUGAGUAACACGUGAGUAACCUGCCCUUGACUUUGGGAUAACUUCAGGAAACUGGGGCUAAUACCGGAUAGGAGCUCCUGCUGCAUGGUGGGGGUUGGAAAGUUUCGGCGGUUGGGGAUGGACUCGCGGCUUAUCAGCUUGUUGGUGGGGUAGUGGCUUACCAAGGCUUUGACGGGUAGCCGGCCUGAGAGGGUGACCGGCCACAUGGGGACUGAGAUACGGCCCAGACUCCUACGGGAGGCAACAGUGGGGAAUAUUGCACAAUGGGCGGAAGCCUGAUGCAGCAACGCCGCGUGCGGGAUGACGGCCUUCGGGUUGUAAACCGCUUUCGCCUGUGACGAAGCGUGAGUGACGGUAAUGGGGAAAGAAGCACCGGCUAACUACGU